RNAcentral lists this ribosomal RNA (446 nucleotides) under uncultured bacterium. RNAcentral describes it as "partial 16S ribosomal RNA". It matches the Rfam family "Bacterial small subunit ribosomal RNA", at positions 338 to 795 of the family's 1533-position model. The record is from RNAcentral.
CCUACGGGUGGCAGCAGUCGAGAAUCAUUCACAAUGGGGGAAACCCUGAUGGUGCGACGCCGCGUGGGGGAAUGAAGGUCUUCGGAUUGUAAACCCCUGUCAUGUGGGAGCAAAUUAAAAAGAUAGUACCACACGAGGAAGAGACGGCUAACUCUGUGCCAGCAGCCGCGGUAAUACAGAGGUCUCAAGCGUUGUUCGGAAUCACUGGGCGUAAAGCGUGCGUAGGCUGUUUCGUAAGUCGUGUGUGAAAGGCGGGGGCUCAACCCGCGGAUGGCAUAUGAUACUGGGAGACUAGAGUAAAGGAGGGGGAACCGGAAUGCUCGGUGUAGCAGUGAAAUGCGUAGAGAUCGAGAGGAACACUCGUGGCGAAGGCGGGUUCCUGGACAUUAACUGACGCUGAGGCACGAAGGCCAGGGGAGCGAAAGGGAUUAGAUACCCCGGUAGUC